GGAACUCAUCUGGAACGGACCGUCCGCACGGCGAUCACCGUGCGGACACCAGAUCGCCGUCCCACGGGAAUCGUCAUUGGAACCAUUCCGUGCCUGAAAUUGUCACCGGUCGCAGAGCACGGUCGCGGUCCUCGCACGGUGCAGAGCACGGUCCAUUCUACACCGGCUGUUCCAUUCUACACCGGCAGGUACCAGUAGUUGCGGUGAAAACGGCCAAAACCUUUGUAAAUCUCUAUUCUCCACCUUUCUCGCUUUCUUCUAUAUAUAUAGCCAGAGAAGAACCGGUUGUUACGGGAACCCAAACAAACACUUCAUUGUUGUUUCCGUCAUCCGUCCUCCCGAUCGAAUAACCAAAGAUCGUCGUCAUCCCCAUUUCUUCUGUCGUUGUCGAAACCUCGGAAUGAAAACUCGAAGCGACGGAAUCUUUCUCUGAUUGAUUUGGGUAUAACUACCCCAAACAUCCAUUUCAGGGUAAAAUGCCUCGGAAACAGAAACGUCAUCGCUAUCUUCUCUUCCCAUCCCUAACCCUGCUAUUUCUCCGACGAGGUUGUCUGAAUAAAUUAAGAUGGGUUCCGCGAGGGAUGUCAGUUCGCGAAGAUGGGUUCCGCGAGGGCAUCGAUUGGGCGUCGAUUGGGCACUGCGAAGGUGACUCUGUUUCCGGACAGGCCAUACUUGACUGACUCCACGAAUAUAUAUACCACGAUGGACGGUGGACGGAAGCCAUACUCUGUUUGGGAACGGUGGAUGCUGGUACUGCAAAAUCGUCGCGAACGACACUACCCGUUCCUGAAUUUUUCUCUAUUUAUUUAUUCUCUCCUUACAUCUCCAUGCACGUUUUUUCCAUUUCUCCAUUUUGCUUUUCAUCCAAAUAUCCAAUCCACCAUACAUAUUUUUUUCAAUAAUUUUAUUCUCUAUGUUUUCAUAAAUUUUAUCUCUUUCAUUUUCGCAUUUAAACAAGACUACAAUUAAGUUGUAAUACCUUUGGGUUUAGGUAUUUACCCAAAUGAGAUUAAUAUUCAGGUAUUCGUUGGAUUUGGAUUGUGUUUGGUUUUUAUUUUCAGAGAUUUAUUUAAAAUUUUAAAAACAAAAUAAAGAGGCCAAUUGCUA
RNAcentral lists this long non-coding RNA (1107 nucleotides) under Zostera marina. RNAcentral's name for it is "long non-coding RNA (ZMAR_LNC003907)". The record is from RNAcentral. Lineage: Eukaryota; Viridiplantae; Streptophyta; Magnoliopsida; Alismatales; Zosteraceae.